RNAcentral lists this non-coding RNA (71 nucleotides) under unclassified sequences. RNAcentral's name for it is "skipping-rope RNA". It matches the Rfam family "skipping-rope RNA". From Rfam's summary of the family: Firmicutes, Fusobacteria, AlphaProteobacteria, Spirochaetes. Downstream gene The record is from Rfam by way of RNAcentral.
AGAAUUAGAGGACGGAAGGGGCAGCCGUCACCCUUGUUAGGAGAUGCGGGAGUGUCGCCCCGCCUAGUUCU